This 253-nucleotide ribosomal RNA is filed under the name uncultured bacterium. RNAcentral describes it as "partial 16S ribosomal RNA". It matches the Rfam family "Bacterial small subunit ribosomal RNA", at positions 524 to 776 of the family's 1533-position model. The record is from RNAcentral.
UACGUAGGUGGCAAGCGUUGUCCGGGUUUACUGGGCGUAAAGAGCGCGCAGGCGGUCGGAUAAGUCGAAUGUGAAAGCCCCCGGCUCAACUGGGGAGGGUCAUUCGAUACUGUUCGACUCGAAGGCAGGAGAGGGAAGUGGAAUUCCCGGUGUAGUGGUGAAAUGCGUAGAUAUCGGGAGGAACACCAGUGGCGAAGGCGACUUCCUGGCCUGUUCUUGACGCUGAGGCGCGAAAGCUAGGGGAGCAAACGGG